Molecule: microRNA precursor, 63 nt
Filed under: Sphenodon punctatus (tuatara)
Lineage: Eukaryota; Metazoa; Chordata; Lepidosauria; Sphenodontia; Sphenodontidae
Description: Spt-Mir-181-P2c3_pre stem-loop
Source: RNAcentral
AACAUUCAUUGCUGUCGGUGGGUUGUGAUGCUGAAAGAGAAACUCGCUGAUCAGUGGAUGUAA